This 498-nucleotide ribosomal RNA is filed under the name uncultured bacterium. Its description in RNAcentral is "partial 16S ribosomal RNA". It matches the Rfam family "Bacterial small subunit ribosomal RNA", at positions 28 to 507 of the family's 1533-position model. The record is from RNAcentral.
GACGAACGCUGGCGGCGUGCCUAAUACAUGCAAGUCGAACGAGAGCGACCGGUGCUUGCACUGGUCAAUCUAGUGGCGAACGGGUGAGUAACACGUGGGUAACCUGCCCAUCAGAGGGGGAUAACAUCCGGAAACGGAUGCUAAAACCGCAUAGGUCUUCGAACCGCAUGGUUUGAAGAGGAAAAGAGGCGCAAGCUUCUGCUGAUGGAUGGACCCGCGGUGCAUUAGCUAGUUGGUGAGGUAACGGCUCACCAAGGCCGUGAUGCAUAGCCGACCUGAGAGGGUGAUCGGCCACAUUGGGACUGAGACACGGCCCAAACUCCUACGGGAGGCAGCAGUAGGGAAUCUUCCGCAAUGGACGCAAGUCUGACGGAGCAACGCCGCGUGAGUGAAGAAGGUGUUCGGAUCGUAAAACUCUGUUGUUAGAGAAAAACAAGUGCUAGAGUAACUGUUAGCGCCUUGACGGUAUCUAACCAGAAAGCCACGGCUAACUACGUG